UUUAUCGGAGAGUUUGAUCCUGGCUCAGGACGAACGCUGGCGGCGUGCCUAAUACAUGCAAGUCGAGCGGACAGAUGGGAGCUUGCUCCCUGAUGUUAGCGGCGGACGGGUGAGUAACACGUGGGUAACCUGCCUGUAAGACUGGGAUAACUCCGGGAAACCGGGGCUAAUACCGGAUGCUUAUUUGAACCGCAUGGUUCAAAUAUAAAAGGUGGCUUCGGCUACCACUUACAGAUGGACCCGCGGCGCAUUAGCUAGUUGGUGAGGUAACGGCUCACCAAGGCAACGAUGCGUAGCCGACCUGAGAGGGUGAUCGGCCACACUGGGACUGAGACACGGCCCAGACUCCUACGGGAGGCAGCAGUAGGGAAUCUUCCGCAAUGGACGAAAGUCUGACGGAGCAACGCCGCGUGAGUGAUGAAGGUUUUCGGAUCGUAAAGCUCUGUUGUUAGGGAA
This 456-nucleotide ribosomal RNA is filed under the name Bacillus subtilis. RNAcentral describes it as "bacterial SSU rRNA". It matches the Rfam family "Bacterial small subunit ribosomal RNA", at positions 1 to 446 of the family's 1533-position model. Lineage: Bacteria; Bacillati; Bacillota; Bacilli; Caryophanales; Bacillaceae. The record is from RNAcentral.